UAGGGAAUCUUCCGCAAUGGGCGAAAGCCUGACGGAGCAACGCCGCGUGAGUGAUGAAGGUCUUCGGAUCGUAAAACUCUGUUAUUAGGGAAGAACAUAUGUGUAAGUAACUGUGCACAUCUUGACGGUACCUAAUCAGAAAGCCACGGCUAACUACGUGCCAGCAGCCGCGGUAAUACGUAGGUGGCAAGCGUUAUCCGGAAUUAUUGGGCGUAAAGCGCGCGUAGGCGGUUUUUUAAGUCUGAUGUGAAAGCCCACGGCUCAACCGUGGAGGGUCAUUGGAAACUGGAAAACUUGAGUGCAGAAGAGGAAAGUGGAAUUCCAUGUGUAGCGGUGAAAUGCGCAGAGAUAUGGAGGAACACCGGUGGCGAAAGCGGCUCUCUGGUCUGUAACUGACGCUGAGGCUCGAAAGCGUGGGAAGCGAACAGGAUUAGAUACCCUGGUAGUCCACGCCGUAAACGAUGAGUGCUAGGUGUUAGGUCCUUUCCGGGACUUAGUGCCGCAGCUAACGCAUUAAGCACUCCGCCUGGGGAGUACGACCGCAAGGUUG
This 550-nucleotide ribosomal RNA is filed under the name uncultured bacterium. RNAcentral describes it as "bacterial SSU rRNA". It matches the Rfam family "Bacterial small subunit ribosomal RNA", at positions 355 to 896 of the family's 1533-position model. The record is from RNAcentral.